Molecule: ribosomal RNA, 253 nt
Filed under: uncultured bacterium
Lineage: Bacteria
Description: partial 16S ribosomal RNA
Rfam family: Bacterial small subunit ribosomal RNA
Source: RNAcentral
UACGUAGGGUGCAAGCGUUGUCCGGAAUUAUUGGGCGUAAAGAGCUCGUAGGCGGUUUGUUGCGUCGGCUGUGAAAUCCCGAGGCUCAACCUCGGGUCUGCAGUCGAUACGAGCAAACUAGAGUGUUGCAGGGGAGACUGGAAUUCCUGGUGUAGCGGUGAAAUGCGCAGAUAUCAGGAGGAACACCUAUUGCGAAGGCAGCUCGCUGGGACGUAACUGACGCUGAGACGCGAAAGCGUGGGGAGCGAACAGG